Molecule: ribosomal RNA, 253 nt
Filed under: uncultured bacterium
Lineage: Bacteria
Description: partial 16S ribosomal RNA
Rfam family: Bacterial small subunit ribosomal RNA
Source: RNAcentral
UACGAAGGGGGCAAGCGUUGUUCGGAAUUACUGGGCGUAAAGGGCGCGUAGGCGGUGCGCUAAGUCAGGCGUGAAAGCCCUGGGCUCAACCCGGGAAUUGCGCUUGAUACUGGCGUGCUCGAAUCCGGGAGAGGUUGGUGGAAUUCCCAGUGUAGAGGUGAAAUUCGUAGAGAUUGGGAAGAACACCGGUGGCGAAGGCGGCCAACUGGACCGGCAUUGACGCUGAGGCGCGAAAGCGUGGGGAGCAAACAGG